Molecule: long non-coding RNA, 8096 nt
Filed under: Homo sapiens (human)
Lineage: Eukaryota; Metazoa; Chordata; Mammalia; Primates; Hominidae
Description: non-protein coding lnc-AKR1C2-3:3
Source: RNAcentral
UUCAUUGUUAUAAUGGAAAGGGGAUAGAGAAUUAAAGAGCUCUGCUUACUGUCAUGAUGGAUUAUAUGCACGCAGCAGAAGAGGAAAGAAGUACCGCUGACAGGAAGACCUAGGGUCUUUUUUAGCCAGAGGUCUCUAUAGACAUGCCAUCAAUAGUAAUGGCAACCGCAGUGUAUCAUCGUGACGAUGUGCUUAAUCAGGGCUCAGGUGUUGAGGAUGUAGACUUGGGAGAGCCCCUUGUUGGUGUGCUUAAGGCAUCCUGGUUUCAGUCAGGUCAGGUCCCCUCACCUAAUACUGGCCUGAGGCCCAAGACCAAGAUACAAGGACUGAGGCUGUCUGAAGAACCAUGCAUGAUCAUUUAUGCUGAAAAGAAAAGAAAUUAGAAGCUUUUGUUGCACAGGUAAGAAAAGAUAAAUUUCUGAAAACCAAAAUGUCCUACCAGGUCUAUCCAUAUUUGUUUUAUUAAUGGGUAAUGCUUUCUAUUAGCUAAUGAAAAGAUGAUGGUAGUUUAACAGUGGAAUAACUUUUAAUAUAUCAUAAUCAGAGAAUACAAGGUAAGCAUAAAAUAUGGUUUUCUUUUGAAAGUAUGUGGAAAUCAAAUUGCUAAGAUCAAUGCAACCAUUUAACUGAGUUUCAUUUUGACAAAAGGCAAUCUGUGGCGAUAUUGCUUUAGAAGUAAGAUGAAAUGCAUAAAUUCAGAUAAAACAUUUUGCCGAUUGCCUGGCUGAAAUAACUGGUUAUUAUUAUUGUUAUUACCAUUAGAAGACAAAAAAAUGGUCUCCCAGUUUUCAGCAUAUGCUACUCUUAAGUAGAAGGACCUUUAACAAAAGCUAAGUGUCCAGGCCUUGGUUUACUCAUCAAAGCAAAUGACCACAUCAGAUGUUCCCUGGGAGCCUUCUGACAUUUAGCAUUUGGUGAUUUUAUCAUCUCACUCCAAGUAAAGGAAGCAGCAAAACCUCUCUGAUUGUAUUUUGAGGUCUCUGCAUAAAUAACUGUAAAGCAUAUUUGACCACAUUAUGAGAAAAUUUGUAAAAUAAAUUUUAUUUGGAAUGCCUACUUGAACUGGAAAUUAACAAUUAGAGGACAUGACUUCCCUGAUGUUUACCUCAUUAGAAAAUGUCUUGGACAAAACGCUGGCAAAAAUCUUCUCUUGAAAACAAUCCUUUAUUAUUUAAAAGGUGGAAUUUAUGCCCCCCAAAUUUAUCUUUCUAAUGAUAUUUAACCCAUUUUGCAUAGCUCGUGUUUUCUUUUGUCCAAUGUUUAAACUAGCUUUUAUUUUUUUAAUGAUUAGAAGCUUGAACAUGUAAAAAAAAAAACAUUAAUGACUUUCAUAGCAUGAACCAGGAAAACAUUUAAAAUCUGUUAAACCUAGUAAUAAUUAUUUCAAAAUGUUGCCUACUAAUGAUGACUUACUAAUUAUCACUUUGUUGUCUUAGUAACUACCUACCCUUGCUGAAGAGUUGACAGAUUUUCAAAUCUACAGAUUGUGACAUAUAAGAAUGUGUGAAACCUGGUGGGUGAGCCAUCUUAGGCCUCAGUUUCUCCAUGUGAAAUGGGAGGAACUGGGCUGAACGAGAUCUAGGUUGUCCUUCCAUUCUGAGUGUGUUCUCUCAAGAUAAUGCUUGUGUUAAUAAGGACUGCAGGGCUCAGUCAGUCAAUGGGUUAUGUUCCUUAAACCUUAUCCAAAACAUCCCGGGUGUUAUGUGUUUCAAAAUUCAGAUUUUUUACAUUUCUUUUGGAUUUUAUAAUGGUAAUACAUUACAAAACAGUAUAUUAUAUAAUCCCCCCAGCAAGGUAUGGGGCAGCUCCAUGUAAUUAAGCUCAUUAUGGAUUCUGUGGCCACUGGUAUGAAAUUGAGGGCGGUGACAAUCAGGGACUCUAAAUAGGUUGUCAUUAGCUCAGGUCAGUUACUGUGGCUAAACACAUUACGGACAAUCUUUUUUUCUUUUUUUUCCUAUUUGUUUUUACUGCAUUUUGGAUUUCAGAAUGGUGGAUAAAGAUUGCGAAUUUGCACAGCUAUAAAGCUUACUAAUUAAAGACUACAAACACAAAGAGAGCAAGCCUUGUGAUGACUGCACAAUAACGAGGAUUCAGAUACAACGUGGUCGCCACCUGACGCCCACCUCCACAAAAAGCCAUUCUCAAAAGGAGAGAGACAUUCAUAUCCAGAAGAGGGAGUCGGCUGUAGGGUAGAGAUUUAGUGCAUGAAGAUACUGAGUUUAAAAUGAAGGCUGUAUACAUAGCCCCUAAAUUCAUAAUAUCAUUUUGCAUUUUUAUGAAGAUGUUCGUCUGAAGAUUUCAAAGCCCACUGCUGAUUUAAGGUCAUUCACAUUCAGCCAUGAAGCUGCUCUGAAGACACAGGAACUGCAUAGCUCCCUACUGGGAAUGUCAAGGGCUGUGAAAGGUCUAAGGUUUUAUCCUACUUGCAACCAACAAGCUAUGCAGCCACAGUUUUAUGGAUGCUGUCAAAAGACAUGACACUCCUGGCAUGCAGUUUAGGCUGCUAACAACAGCAUGAGGGCAACCUGCUGUGGUGACCUAAGCUAUGACACCCCACCCCAAGUCCGGGAUGCAGCUAACUGAGCAAACUGCAUGAACUGGGAGGCGGCCGACCAUUGUUCACGCCUCUCCUUCGCGUAUGUGUUUUCUACUGUUCUUGCACUGUAAAGGCAGAGGUUGCAUCGGGCCCUUAUGCAAAGCCCCAAAUAAUUACUGGCUGACUCUUCUCAGGGAACAUUUGCUAACCCUGUCACAAGCCAUAAGGUUCCACCACAGAUUGCCCUGUGGCUCUCUCGUUACGUUUCUGUGUGGACGUUUCCACAUGGUCUGAGGCAUUCAUCCAAGAAGAGCAGGAUGUAUUAGUGACUGCACAGAUUCUGCCUUGGCCCACAAAGAGGACAUCCAGGGCAGUCCUGGUCAUCUGUAAUAACAUUGCCCAGUGAGUUGAGGCUGACCUGAGUACUGACUUGGGUUGAGUUGGUGUCACUGAUCACUUCAGCCAAAGAUGGGACAUUUCUUAGCACCUGUUCUGAUUGGCUGACUUCUAUGGUCAGGAUAACGGCUCUCAGGAUGCGUAUAACUGCCAAGUCUCUCCGGGAAGCUUCCCUGGGUUACCAAGGAAUCCUCAUGUCUGAGAGAGCUCCACCAUCAUCCAAGGGCCACACGGAGUUUCUUGCAAUGCUUCAAGGUCUCCUGUAAUAACUCCUAUGAUAGAAGUCACUGUGUUUUGGGGAGGUAGACUGCAGCAUGCAGUUUUGACAGCAUGACCAAGGUCAUUGUUCAGGUCUGAUUAUUCAAAUUCAAAAAACUGCAACCUCAGGCAUAAAAGAUUAAGGAUGGAGCCCAAGUCUCUGGGUCCCCAAGGGGGACUGAAGCACAUACUCACCCAUCUGAAUAUGCUGGAGAACAGGAAGGAGAGACUCAAGCUUGUCUGGGUCUGUUGGAUACAGACUCUCCCAUCUCCACCCCAUCAGGUCCUAUGGAGGCCCAAGUUCAGCUGAUGAAGUUAAGGGAGUGCUCAGUGCAGAAGGGUGGGAGGGCACUUGGGGCAUUUUGGGGUCCUGUUUUUGUUGCUUCUGCAUCUGAUACAGCAGGAAUUGAAGUAUUGCACACUUGUCCUUCCCAUUUCCAAGUGCUGCCUUCCCAUCAGUAAGAGCCACAGUUAGAGAGGGACCAACAGGAGGAUAACUCCCACAUGCUUAGCAUUCCAAUAAUGGAACACUAGGCAUAAAUUGAUAAGAUGCUUUCAAUGCAAUCAGUACUCUGCCAGGAUUCACUAAGUAGAGAAUGACUAAAUAUUUACCCAUCUCCUAACAAAAAUGCACAACUGAGGACAGAUGUUUUGCACUUUUAUGUGUCUACGGACUGUGUAAGAGGAUUUGGCUGGGUCAUCAUCUUCUUCUUCUUCUUAGACUGGUUGAUGGUGACCGUUCAUUGAUCCAAUAUGGUAAAGUCAUGUCCUGGUCUGUGUUCUUCGGGGUCCACAACCCUCUUUAACAGCCUGUUGUAAGGUUCUCGACCACGUCACUGUCUAGCUAAACCAUUCUGCAUUUCAGUAGGUAAACCAGCAGGAGGGCUUAAAAACCACAUUGCCCUGUCCACAUCCCUAUUUCUGAUUCUUUUCUGGCCUGCGAUCCUACAUCUCUAUCCUCACUUUAAACUGUUUUCCUCUUUUCUUCUCCUUUUUCCUGACCUCCUUUAUGUUUUUCAUUUCUCCUCCAUCUGAAUAUACCAAACCAUCCUUUUGCUUCCUCUUUUCUCUUCAUUAAUUAUUCUAGGGGCUAUUUUUUUUAUUAGGAAGAUGUAUUAUUUUAACAUGCUUUAUAAAGUUAGUGGCAUUAAGGAAUUAAUGUCCUUGGAAACUCAUACAUGUUCAGCUUCUAGAAACCCCUGAUUCCAAGGAGCAAAAACAUGCCAUCUCUGACAGUGUCCACAAGAACAAUACCAGAUCAGACGAUAAAGCCAACACACAGCAUAGCCAAUGGCCACACAUCCAGAAAACACUCUCAACAAAUUUAACCCUUCAGUAUUCACUGUAGCCAAUAUAUAUUCAAUAUAUAUAGCUGACUUUGUUUUUAUAUUUGAUGAAGUCCUGCUAUUUGAAAUAAAAUAAUCAAACCAACAACAACAACAACAAAAACCCCAUACAUGGUGAUAGCAUAUGUGAGGCAGUAGCAAUUUCUCCAUCUUUUCUGUCCUGUCUUUCCUGUUCUUCGUUCCCAUGCUAAGAAGGGAUGGAUAUAUCUCGGAGAUUACACAGGUUCUAGUCAAAGACUUCAUUGUGAACGUUUGUUUCACAUUUUCCCUGGAUAAGGACUAAUUAAAAGUUUGGAAAAGUAUACCUUUUUUUUUUUUUUUUUUUGCAAACUUACCCAUAUUAUGUGCUUUUUCUUGAUACAGCUGCUAAUCUUUGCUGUAUAUGUAGUGUUAGGAAGUCUACUUUAAUACACACACACACGUUUAAUGAGGUAAAAUAUGCAUAACAUAAUUACCAUUUUAACAAUUUUUAAGUGUAGAGUUCAGGGGCAAGUACGUUCAUGUUCUUGUGCAACUAUCACCACCAUUUUUUCUCCAGAACCCUUUUUAUCAUCUCAAACUGAAACUCUGCACCCACUGAACAAUAACUCCCCGUUCUCUCCUCCUCCUAGACCCUGGUAACCCCUCAUCUAUUUUCUGUCUCUGUGUAUUUGACUAUUCUAGGUACCACAUUAACGUGGACUUACACAGUAUUCGUCCUUUUGUGACUGGCUUAGUUUAUUUAGCAUAAGAUCCCCAAGGUUCAGCCGGGUGCCGUGGCUCAUGCCUGAAAUCCAAGCACUUUGGGAGGCCAAGGUGGGUGGAUCACCUGAGGUCAGGAGAUUGAGACCAGCCUGGCCAACACGGUGAAACCUCAUCUCUACUAAAAUACAAAAAUUAGCUGGGCCUGGUGGCGGGCGCCUGUAAUCCUAGCUACUAGGUAGGCUGAGGCAGGAGAUUAGCUUGAACCUGGGAGGCGGAGGUUGCAGUGAGCAGAGAUGGGACCACUCCACUCCAGCUUGGGCAACAGAGCAAGACCCUGUCUCAAAAAAAAAAAAUUCAAGGUUCAUCCAUGCUGUGGCAUGUGUCAUAAUUUCAUUUCUUCAUAUUCCUGAAAUACAUUUCUAAAUAUAAAUUUUUCAUUACUGUUUUCAUUUCAAGUUAAGUUUAUCAGAUCCUGUAGUCCAGGGACUUCAGUCUCUUUGAAUUAUGUCUUUCUUGGACAAUUUGGGAGCUCUUUUGAGAAACUGAAUACAAUUUGAAUACACUAAAAUCUGAAUCACACCAUAGAUAACGACAUAGUGUCUUAGUGAGAAGAAAUUUGAUUCUGCUGACUAGGAUACUAAAGUUUGACCUUUAUGGUCAUCUCUUAAUAAAAUAAAAGGAGAGCACUGGGCUAUUAAAUAGUUUAUUCAUGGAUCAUAGGGUGAAUAAGACCUAGAUCCUAGAGGAAAUCCUCCCCACAAAGACACUCAGACUUUUAUUCCUGUCAAUGUUCUUGUGGAUUUCAGGGAGCAAUGAUGGCUAUAAAUCUGCAACUCAUAGCAUUUCAGGCUAAACACAUUCAGCCUUUAUUACCAUUGUUCAUUUGACCUCUUUAUCCAAUUUUUUUCCCACCCACUUGCCAAUAUCACCUUGUUCUUAUGUAGGCUGUGUUUCAGCCAGCUUAAGCCUUACUAACAAAUGAGGUGAAAUCCAUCUGAGGAGGAAGCCGGGGCAUGGUGGAUUGAAAUAGCUUGCCUCAGGAGCAGAAAAUUUGGUGUGGAUCAAGAAAUAGAACUCCAAAGUAUACCUUUCCAGUCAUUGGCUUUAGCUGGAGCCAGCAUCCUUCAAUGAAUCAGUCAACAUUUACCUAUCUGUUCCCCACAGCAGUUUUGCAAAUCGCUUUCAGAAAUCAUUGAACCACUAACAGUUUAUCCACUCUGCAAAAUAUACACAGCUCUUCCCAUAUCCAGGAGGGUUAUCCCUUCUCAGCUGCGUUCAACACUUUUUACAACCCCUGAUUUCAAUAAGCAGAAUACAUCCACCUGCUUAGGGAAAUUACUCUUACCAUAUAAUUGCCUCUUAUGUUGAAAUGUCCAUGAGACCCUCUCAUGAAAUAGGGGACAAGAUAAAGCACAGAUUUUCCCCCAACUCAAACAUGCCUGUCUCAUACAUGUCAUGCCCUUGGAAAUGGCCAACACUGCUCUCUGCCUCCUGUUUAGGGUUAAGGCUUUCACUAUCUCUUGCCACCUCUGAUGAAAUUACUAACAAAUAUAUUAUCCUUACCCUUUGUCUUCUAUUCCAGCACUUCAAAUGCAUCAAAGGUCCAGAGAGAAGCUUCUUCUGGUCACCUUGAUCUUGUGAUGCAAGGCAGGUGGGAGCAAGGGCUCCACCUCUGCAGACACAGAGAUGACGGGGUCGCCAUGCCGGCGUUUUAGUCCCGGUUUCCUCUGCUCGAGUAGUUGGUGGCCUCCUGCCUGUUCCCUAACAUAACUUCACUUUCCUUACCUGCAAAACGAAAUUAGUAUUUCCUCCCUCACAAGGUGCUUGAUGCCCUUCCCCUUGCGUUUACUUUGCCUGAGAGACUAUAUCAUAUCUAUGAUUUUGUGAAUGGGGCAAAAGGAAUUGAGAGUGUCAGGGUAUACCUUAUAAAUAAGCCACUAAAGGUUACAUCCUCAUUCCACAAACUGACCUAAACAAUUUGGCUGUCACUAAUAGAUUAUUUUGGUCAGUUAUGGCAUUUAGAGGGAGAAGAGAGAGUAUAUAUAUAUGGGUGGGGUGUGUGUGUAUGCGUGUGUAUGUGUGUGUUUACAGUCAAAAUACCAAAAUAUAUCUAUGUAUAUAAAUAUAUUUGCUUUCUUUGUGUUAUUUGCAACUUACCUGGCUAAGCUGAACUCCAGAAUUUGGACUAGAGGCUUCAGGAUGCUGGUGCAGUUCAAGUCUGGUCCACAUGUCUCCUCCUCCUUCGAGGGUCAUUGACUACUUUGUGUAUCUUCUUUUCAUGACAGUUCAUAUGAGUGCAAGAUGGCUCGAUAGACUUGCACACAAGUUUAAAGAUUUUUGUAUACACCUCAUUCCAUUGUUAAAGCAAGUUGCAUGGUCAAAUCUAACAUCUCUGGACAAGGACAUGCAUUCAUACCACUCUACUGCACUGCAAGCUCACGCAGAGGAGCAGAUCAUAAAACGUGAUUGAUGCAUGAUGAUGAUAAUGACCAACCUACCAUCAUGGACAUGACCGUAUGUUGAUACUAAGCCUCUUAGUAAAAUGAGCUAAAGAAACCAGAACUAUCUGCCUUCAGCUCAGCUGUCUGAUCAAAAACUUGAAAUCUGGAAACAGUGGUAUCUGGAAAACCUACUAAAAGUGGCUUUGGGAAAAUAUCAAUUAAUGUCAAUUUCAUUAAUUAUUCAGGGAAAUCCAAUCCAGUAAGCUAAAAUAUGAACAUAUGUGAACAUGUCAAUAAGAUUAUCUUUACUUUUUGAGUUCCUUUUCAGGAUUUAGAAUAAUUUUGUUAAAGGGGGACGUGAAAUAAUUAUAAUUUUAAUUUAUUUGAAAAGACAUAUAAUUGUAUUUUAGGCACUGUAAUUAAGUUCACUAUUUU